Molecule: small RNA, 107 nt
Filed under: Marmota monax (woodchuck)
Lineage: Eukaryota; Metazoa; Chordata; Mammalia; Rodentia; Sciuridae
Source: RNAcentral
GCCAGGCACAGUGGUGCAUGCCUGUAAUCCCAGCAACUCAGGAGGCCAAGACAGAAAGAUUACAAAUUCAAGGCCAGCCCCAGCAACUUACCAGAAUCCUGUCUUUU